UAAAAUCCACCCCCUUCCCUUUCAUUCUCAUACUCUUUUAUUUCCCUUUUAACUUUCUCUUAAAAACAAAACCAACAAGAAAGAAUAAAGGGAAAUUAAAAGAAAUAAUGGCUAAUAUCAAGAUGACAACUAUACUUUUCGUUGCCAUAAUUUUCACUAUCUUUGCUUCAAGCAAAUUUGCAUGGGCACAUGAGGAAAUUCAUCCCCAUGUUCAACCCCAACCUCACCCCCACCCCCAACCCCAACCUCACCCCCACACCCAACCCCAACCCCAUCCACAACCCCAGGGUUCUGAAGGACCAGUAUAUGAAUAUGCAGGACAAAGGUUGAAGAUAGAACCAGGACAUGAAUUAUGUUAUCAAAAAUGUUAUCAAGGUAUUUUUGCUGGUGAAGGUAGUCCAUUAUAUGCAGAAAAAGAAUGCUACGAUAUGUGCCAUAACAAUGGUAAAUUUGUAUUUCCAAACUUUAGUCCUCCACCUUGCGCGAACAAGGUUUAAUCAACGUGUAUAGAAACAAUUACUCCCUCGAUCUAUUCUUUCACUUUAUAUCGCGGCAUUACUAUUUAGGGAGUCAAAAAAGACGUUCUUCUUUGACCACACUUUUAUGGAGGCAAGUAAUUUUUUUAAUUCCAUGCCAUAUUAAUUAACCAACAAAGAAUCUUUUUUAUAAUUAUGGCGUGACAUGUAUAGUCACACUCUAUAAAUAUAUAUAUUCUUUUGUGUUGGUGAUCAUUUGUAAUUGUAACAGAUAUGUCAUCAAUUUACUGAUUUGUGUUAUAUUAUUUUAUGUGGUUACAUACUUACAUUUGUUUAAUAAUGCGAAUUAAGUGUUGGGAACGUGCAAUCUAGGUGUGCAAUGGGUGUUUUUUUUUCUUUUUUUUGGGGGGAUUCUUAUUAAUGUCUUUGUUUUAGGAGAUCAAUUUUUAUGGCACAUUAAAAAUAUUAUUUUGGUUAUAUGACGGUGUUUACAGGAAAUUGAUAAAUCAAAUUGGCAAGGUCCAUGAGAAUGUCCAAAA
RNAcentral lists this long non-coding RNA (1015 nucleotides) under Nicotiana tabacum (common tobacco). RNAcentral describes it as "long non-coding RNA (NTAB_LNC002156)". The record is from RNAcentral. Lineage: Eukaryota; Viridiplantae; Streptophyta; Magnoliopsida; Solanales; Solanaceae.